RNAcentral lists this non-coding RNA (30 nucleotides) under Rattus norvegicus (Norway rat). Lineage: Eukaryota; Metazoa; Chordata; Mammalia; Rodentia; Muridae. The record is from RNAcentral.
UAUAAAUGCCCCUCUUUGCUCUUCAUUCUC